This 192-nucleotide ribosomal RNA is filed under the name uncultured bacterium. RNAcentral's name for it is "partial 16S ribosomal RNA". It matches the Rfam family "Bacterial small subunit ribosomal RNA", at positions 327 to 535 of the family's 1533-position model. The record is from RNAcentral.
GGAUCGCCCUUCCUACGGGAGGCAGCAGUGGGGAAUAUUGGACAAUGGGCGAAAGCCUGAUCCAGCAAUGCCGCGUGAGUGAUGAAGGCCUUAGGGUUGUAAAGCUCUUUUACCAGGGAUGAUAAUGACAGUGCCUGGAGAAUAAGCUCCGGCUAACUCCGUGCCAGCAGCCGCGGUAAUAAGGGCGAUCCC